RNAcentral lists this ribosomal RNA (869 nucleotides) under uncultured Bacteroidota bacterium. RNAcentral's name for it is "bacterial SSU rRNA". It matches the Rfam family "Bacterial small subunit ribosomal RNA", at positions 520 to 1392 of the family's 1533-position model. The record is from RNAcentral. Lineage: Bacteria; Pseudomonadati; Bacteroidota.
GUAAUACGGAAGGUCCGGGCGUUAUCCGGAUUUAUUGGGUUUAAAGGGAGCGUAGGCCGGAGAUUAAGCGUGUUGUGAAAUGUAGAUGCUCAACGUCUGCACUGCAGCGCGAACUGAUUUCCUUGAGUACGCACAAAGUGGGCGGAAUUCGUGGUGUAGCGGUGAAAUGCUUAGAUAUCACGAAGAACUCCGAUUGCGAAGGCAGCUCACUGGAGCGCAACUGACGCUGAAGCUCGAAAGUGCGGGUAUCGAACAGGAUUAGAUACCCUGGUAGUCCGCACGGUAAACGAUGGAUGCCCGCUGUUGGUCUGAACAGGUCAGCGGCCAAGCGAAAGCAUUAAGCAUCCCACCUGGGGAGUACGCCGGCAACGGUGAAACUCAAAGGAAUUGACGGGGGCCCGCACAAGCGGAGGAACAUGUGGUUUAAUUCGAUGAUACGCGAGGAACCUUACCCGGGCUUGAAUUGCAGAGGAAGGAUUUGGAGACAAUGACGCCCUUCGGGGCCUCUGUGAAGGUGCUGCAUGGUUGUCGUCAGCUCGUGCCGUGAGGUGUCGGCUUAAGUGCCAUAACGAGCGCAACCCCUCUCCUUAGUUGCCAUCAGGUUAAGCUGGGCACUCUGGGGACACUGCCACCGUAAGGUGUGAGGAAGGUGGGGAUGACGUCAAAUCAGCACGGCCCUUACGUCCGGGGCUACACACGUGUUACAAUGGCAGGUACAGAGAGAUGGUGUUCUGCAAAGCGCAUCAAAUCCUUAAAGCCUGUCUCAGUUCGGACUGGGGUCUGCAACCCGACCCCACGAAGCUGGAUUCGCUAGUAAUCGCGCAUCAGCCAUGGCGCGGUGAAUACGUUCCCGGGCCUUGCACACACCG